Procambarus clarkii (red swamp crayfish) is the source of this 1780-nucleotide non-coding RNA. Lineage: Eukaryota; Metazoa; Arthropoda; Malacostraca; Decapoda; Cambaridae. The record is from RefSeq and is a predicted model, not a curated record.
ACUUUAUCGGGUGGCGUACCAAAGGAGUAGGGGGGAGGGUUGUGGGGGAUCCAGUUGGUGUACAAACUGAGGUAACACGUGGUAUACUCCGUUGCUCCGCCUUGUUGAGAGUGAAAACUUUCAACGGCUUUCUUUGACUUCGGGGAUAAAGUCAACUCAACGGUCUUCAAAUUAUGUAUUUAAAAAAUAAAAAUAUGGAAAGUUUUAACAUAAGCAUACUGGUAGCUUUUGUACAGAACGAACUUGCCAGAGGUAUUACCUAAUCAUGAGCAGAAGGUUGGCCCCUUUAGGUUUAUCUUUCCAGUCCAGAAAACUGCGGUCCUGCGGUGUUAAGUAUCAGUGUUUGUAUACAGCACUGGUGGCUUCACAUCCACGGAAGAACAAUUUUAUUUAUAGGGAAAAUGAUUAAAACACAAACAUGUGAAUGGUCUUGUACAUUAUUAGGAGUAUGCUUGAAAAACAAGAUUACGAGUGUAUACGGAUUCAGUUGCUGCGAGAAAAUGUUGCAGCCAUACAUUGGGGUCGAAUUUGCAUCCCUGGACUCUCCAGGCACCAUGCUAUGUACUACAAAUGAUGCACCUACAGUUUUUAAGGAAAAUUUACAGGACUUAAAAAUCAAGUGGAUUUGUAAUGAGAGGUAACGAGGACGCUGCUAUUAGCAACUAUGACAGUACUCCACCGCAUCGUGAGUGGCAAUGUGUGGGAAGAUGGCUCGUAUGGUGAUCUGGCAUCUGUUCCCAGUCUUCAUAGCAGUCAGAUCAGGUUACAGUGGAUUAAAUAAGGAUCAACUUCUGUCUACAGCAUCAGUACAGCGAAUCUAAGGACAUAAUCCUCAGCUGUACAGAACAUAAUACAAGAAAGAAUGUUUGGCACAAAUAAAACACUGGCAUUUUCAGGAAUCUUGGCAUUUGUCCUCUACUGGAAUGGAACUCUUCAGAAAAUUUCAUGCUUCGUUUCCUCCAGUCUCUUUUCAUCCUCCUUUUAUCUCUUUCCUUCCACAUAUUUUCUUAAUCUUGUACCUGUGAAUGAAGAUACUGCAUCACAAAUGGAGGAAACCAAUGAAAAAUUGGCAGUUGAGCAUAAAAUACUGUUUGACAAUUUAAACACAAUGGUUACAUUCAUGGAAAAUCUCAUUGCAACAAAUGGUGAAGGGACAACUAGCAAAGAGGAGGAGGAAUUAAUAAAUGAAAUGGUUUCUUCAGUGGACCAUCUAUUAAAUGAAGCACUGAAGUUUGAGGCAAACUUUGACAAUAAUUUACAGAUGAUUUUUGCCAAAGCUCGCAGAUGCAAUGAUGCUCUUAAAAGAAUCCUUGGUAGAAAAGACCAAGAUACAAAGCAACAGAAGAAAUGGGGGUGAUAAAGACUCUGAGUGAGGAAAUAAGUUAAACAAGUUGAAUGCUGAUGUCAUCUAUGAUCUUGAAUCAUUUUUAUAUACUGUACCUGUAUAUGUAUGGUGCAUGAAUGUUUCCCGUAAAUUUUAAGUAGUUCAUGUUCAUCUGUGCCUGAUUACUAGGUGCUGAAAUGAAUGUGUAAAAUUAUAUGCAGUAUAUAUAUAAUAUAUACACAAAAUGUGAAGUGAUUGUGAAAUAGGAUUGAGUUUUUUUUUUUUUUUCAAAAUUUUUUUGUUUUGCAUGCCCUAAAUAGUGCCUAAUUUAUCUUAUCUAUUUCUUUGAAAAUGCUGAUCAUUCUAUAGAGUGAAAUUUAUGUAUAUUGCAUUUAUUAGGAAAAGAAUGAUCAGCUGAUAUGGUAAAAUAUGUAUCUAAUAAAAUAUUUAAUUGCA